RNAcentral lists this ribosomal RNA (253 nucleotides) under uncultured bacterium. Its description in RNAcentral is "partial 16S ribosomal RNA". It matches the Rfam family "Bacterial small subunit ribosomal RNA", at positions 524 to 776 of the family's 1533-position model. The record is from RNAcentral.
UACGUAGGGUCCGAGCGUUGUCCGGAAUUAUUGGGCGUAAAGGGCUCGUAGGCGGUUUGUCACGUCGGGAGUGAAAACUCGGGGCUUAACCCCGAGCCUGCUUCCGAUACGGGCAGACUAGAGGUAGGCAGGGGAGAGCGGAACUCCUGGUGUAGCGGUGGAAUGCGCAGAUAUCAGGAAGAACACCGGUGGCGAAGGCGGCUCUCUGGGCCUUACCUGACGCUGAGGAGCGAAAGCGUGGGUAGCGAACAGG